This 1938-nucleotide long non-coding RNA is filed under the name Anser brachyrhynchus (Pink-footed goose). Its description in RNAcentral is "lncRNA (ENSABRG00000002040.1)". Lineage: Eukaryota; Metazoa; Chordata; Aves; Anseriformes; Anatidae. The record is from RNAcentral.
GGAAAAUCCUUUGCUUCUUUGGUUUAGUAUACACCUAAAGAUAACGGAAACUGAAGACAAGUCUCCUUUCCCUUACCCUGAAACUGUCAGAGCUCCUGUUUGCUUACAUGGGGUUAACGCAGAGGUGCAGGGUGCCAGGGCUGCAAGCCAGUCAGAGGGCGCCUAAGGACAUUAUUCCCCCGAGUUGCUUGUGAGCCUCUUAGAAAACUGCUGUCAUUCCUCAUGCAAUAGCAGAAGACACUGGAGUGGCAAGAUGGAAAAGCAAAGUGUGAUUAGUUUUAAAGGAUAGCACAAACAAUAAAUGAAAGUUAUGACCGGCUGUGAACAGGGGAAGCGUGAAGGACUGAGAUGAAUUUAUACUCUUCUAGCUCCCUUCUAAGUGAAAAAUGGGCACAAAAUCUCCUGUGUGCUGAUUUGCAUGCAUGAGAAAAAGCGUUGGCUGGGUGAAAAAUAGCCUGUAGUGCCCAUUCUUCACUUGUUAAAUAAUCCAGACGAAGGAUAAGAGAGCGAUUCAUUGUCAGUGCAUUUCUACCUGAGGGAUUUUGGCGCUGCUCUCCCAGCUGGAUUAGGCCCCAUGUUUUCCCGCACCUAAACUGUUCCAGUUUCAUUUAUGGCAGCGGGCAGCCCUGGGACAUCCGAACGUGAGGAUCUCUGCUCCUGGCAGGCGGCUGGGUCGUGUUCCCAGCACAGGUACGCAGACCUGCUUGGGAGCAUGCAUACCUCGGGCUCUACUUAGAGCAAGACUGGGGCGUCUGGAAGUACAAGAUCACGUGCUAAUAAGCUGCAUCUCCAUAGUGACUGCACCCUUACUUCGGAGCUCGUUUGUACCUGUGUCCUGGUGCUCUUCCUCGCAGCGUAAGCAACACUGCAAGGUCUUAAAAGUGGCUGUUCAGUGUUUGCCUGCCUCGUUAUUCCUAAUGAGGUGCAUGAUUUUGUAACGCAUAUUGAGAUAACGUUAAGAUUUGUAACCUAAAGGGGGAAAAAAAAAGUAGAAUGGCAAGUACUUGGCCUCUGCUCAUAACCUGUUUGGUUGUAAAGGGAAGGUCAAAAUUCAUACGCUCUGCAAUGAAUUUCUAGCAAUUGUCAGCUGCUUCCCCAGACCUUGUGUCACUCUGCUUACACGUGAUUUUCAUAUUUAACUUCUGCAUUAAAGAAUUUACGAGAGCUCCAAGUCUCUCUCUGUUAGCUGUGGGGGAAGAUGUGCUGUCUCACAGCCCUCUCAUCCUUAUAUAUCAGCCCAUGGUUUUUUCAAGUUGCAUGCAAAGUUAUGCAUUAGCCUAAACGUGCCAACCCACUUUAUCUGAUCUGAUGAGAGCUUUUGUUUUGGAGGCUGGAUUGAAACUAAGAAAUGCCUUGUUUUAAGGACUGACUGUUCUAGUACAGCUCAAUCACAAAUGGUUUUAAAAUGUAUUUUUUUCUUUUUAGCAAGGAAAGCAAUAAUGCCACCCAAUAGGUAUUAAUCAAAAUUGUUGAAACUGUUUUCAGAAAUUGCCUAGGUGUCUAGGAAGCUGUCUUAUUAGCAGGCAGGAAUGAUGAAUAACUCUGUCCUGCAUAUCUACUUCUGUGCCAAAGCACUUAUCAUUUGCAGAUCUGAAAAUGCUUUGUUUUCAGUGACUCAGCCACUUCCACGAUCCUUCUCUUUUAUAGACAGGUGUGUCAGAUGAGUUACUUCUUGUUAAUGACCAACAGAGCUACUAAGAAAUCUCUCUCAUGAUACUCUAGAGUUUAGGAAGCCAAAUUUGCCUCCUUUGAAAUGCAAAUGCAUCUUACCAUUGCCCUUAAUGGGGCAUUUCUUCUUCGAAUGUGUUCCCAUGCAGGAAAAUUCCUUUCUUUUCAACGAGCAGCAGGAGGAGUUAGCUGCUUGCUAACUGGCAUAAUUAGAAACCUUUACUGGAGAUGAUUGGGUCAGGUUGUUCCCAUGCACAUGAGGUUGUUAAU